Molecule: ribosomal RNA, 245 nt
Filed under: uncultured Pelagicoccus sp.
Lineage: Bacteria; Pseudomonadati; Verrucomicrobiota; Opitutia; Puniceicoccales; Pelagicoccaceae
Description: partial 16S ribosomal RNA
Rfam family: Bacterial small subunit ribosomal RNA
Source: RNAcentral
UACAGAGACUGCAAGCGUUACUCGGAUUCACUGGGCGUAAAGGGAGCGCAGGCGGACCGGUGUGUCAGAUGUGAAACCCCAGGGCUCAACCCUGGGACUGCGUCUGAAACUGCCGGUCUAGGGACUCGGAGGGGCUAGUGGAAUUCCUGGUGGAGCAGUGAAAUGCGUAGAUAUCGGGAGGAACACCAACGGCGAAGGCAGCUAGCUGGACGAGAUCCGACGCUCAGGCUCGAAAGUAUGGGGAG